Molecule: non-coding RNA, 106 nt
Organism: Acanthosepion pharaonis
Lineage: Eukaryota; Metazoa; Mollusca; Cephalopoda; Sepiida; Sepiidae
Source: the annotation of a GenBank genome assembly
UAUGGCCAUACAACGUUGAAACAACGGUUCACGUCCGAUCACCGAAGUUAAGUUACGUCGAGCCUGGUCAGCAUCUGUAUGCGUGAUCGCUUGGGAAUAUAAGUAG